AGGGCUGCUGGAGGUAUCAGAAGUGCGAAUGCUGACAUGAGUAACGAUAAAGGGAGUGAAAAACUCCCUCGCCGGAAGACCAAGGGUUCCUGUCCAACGUUAAUCGGGGCAGGGUAAGUCGACUCCUAAGGCGAGGCCGAAAGGCGUAGUCGAUGGGAAACGGGUUAAUAUUCCCGUACUUCUUACAAUUGCGAUGGGGGGACGGAGAAGGCUAGGUGGGCCUGGCGACGGUUGUCCAGGUUCAAGUACGUAGGCGGAAAGUUUAGGUAAAUCCGGACUUUCUUAACGCUGAGAUACGAUGUCGAGCUACUACGGUAGUGAAGUCAUUGAUGCCAUGCUUCCAGGAAAAGCCUCUAAGCUUCAGAUUGUAAGGAAUCGUACCCCAAACCGACACAGGUGGUCGGGUAGAGAAUACCAAGGCGCUUGAGAGAACUCGGGUGAAGGAACUAGGCAAAAUGGUACCGUAACUUCGGGAGAAGGUACGCUCUUAUCAGUGAAGUCCCUUGCGGAUG
Molecule: ribosomal RNA, 512 nt
Filed under: Vibrio splendidus
Lineage: Bacteria; Pseudomonadati; Pseudomonadota; Gammaproteobacteria; Vibrionales; Vibrionaceae
Description: bacterial LSU rRNA
Rfam family: Bacterial large subunit ribosomal RNA
Source: RNAcentral